Molecule: long non-coding RNA, 599 nt
Organism: Dermacentor andersoni
Lineage: Eukaryota; Metazoa; Arthropoda; Arachnida; Ixodida; Ixodidae
Source: RefSeq, a predicted model, not a curated record
CACACUCAGGGGCGAGUUCCUGCAGAAGCCGCAGUCAAGUGUCAGAGUACCAUGGAGCUUCCUGUAGCUGGGUUGAUAUUCGCAGCGUGCAUUGCAAUCGUGGCCCAUCCUGCCGCAGGCAUGGUUGCGCUCGAUUUUGAAAAAGAUGAUGAAUGCCCUGUAAGGUACUCCGAUGGAGUCGGAAAUUGCACUGCUUUUGGAUUUUCAAUACCGCCGGGAGAAAGCAAGGGCCUCUCACAUCCCUGCGUUAUGGUUGAAUGCAGUUCAAGUGGACAGGAUAUUAAAGUCCGAGGGUGCCCGAAAACACCGGAAGUUUGCGAAAACCCAAAGAUUCCACUGAUAGCUGGCGCAUCAUGGCCGCGCUGCUGUAAACUGUGCAAGUCAGCUAAGGCUGCGCCUAAACGUACAUAAUCUUAAUCAGGUGAAGAAUAGCAAACCAAAGAUUGCGGCUGGUUUGCUGUCCGCUUUUUCUCUCUCUAUCUGUCUCUUUCUUCCUGAAUUUAUACUUAAUAAACCACAUUUUCUACAGUAUGGAAGGGAGACGGAGGGACCACUUUUUCGAAUUCUUUAAUAAAUAAAUUUUUCUGCAUUCCACUGAA